AAAUAUCAAGUCUUGUGUAGGUCUUAAAGUAAAAGCACAGCUUCUUUCUCAGCUUUAAUUAUUACAUCCCAAGAUACCUUCAACAGUCAGCAAUGGCCCCUGAAAAGGAGGAGGAGGAGGUCAUGAGGGUGAAAAUAACUGGCAAAUGCCGUGUGAAGCCCAACAAGAACCUGGGAAGAAGUGAAUGUCAGUUGGUCACUUUUGAUCUUCCAUACAUAGCAUUUCAGUACAACCAAAAGCUGAUGGUUUACAAGGGAGAUGAGUAUGAGG
RNAcentral lists this long non-coding RNA (270 nucleotides) under Populus tremula. RNAcentral's name for it is "long non-coding RNA (PTRE_LNC001024)". The record is from RNAcentral. Lineage: Eukaryota; Viridiplantae; Streptophyta; Magnoliopsida; Malpighiales; Salicaceae.